Long non-coding RNA from Cyprinus carpio (common carp), 1251 nucleotides. The record is from Ensembl. NCBI's taxonomy places the organism in Eukaryota, Metazoa, Chordata, Actinopteri, Cypriniformes, Cyprinidae.
AUGUUAUCUAAUGCUUUGCAUAGAGAAGAGACUGAAGCAGCAGCAUGCACGAGCACUGGGAGGAAACGUAUCAGAGAGCGAUUUCGUGCUACUUUGGCAGGACUCCUGGAGUUGGCGGUCCUGAGAGUCAGACACAAAAUAAUGGUGGAGACGGCCCUGGGAAAAACCAAAGUUGAUCCUAAAGAUUCAACGACGACGAUUAUCCAGCAGAGACAGCAUGAUUACUGGGUCGAUAAAGACUCAUUCAGACCAAAGCUCAAGCGCAGUUUUUCUGAAGAGGCUGUUCACGAGGCUAGAGGAUCCACAGGACUUUUGUCAUGUUCCAGACAUUCAUUUGAAGACCUGCUUCAUCAUCAGUGUCUGACAGAAAGAAGCUGGCAUGACCAAGAACUUCACUCGCACAUGGAAAGCCAGUCAAGGGCAAGCUCAGGUUUUUGUGACUUUGUGGAUGUUUUUACCCCUUCUGACUGUGAUGAAACCAUCAGCUCUCUCUCCACCUCUUUGGCCUCCUUGAAAUACAAGAACACUCUCGGAGAUGGAGAAUGUUUCAUGGUUGAGGAACCUCAGAGGAGCCGACACAUUUUAUUACAAGAGCACAGAGGAGUUCAUUCCAAUUUCUCAGAUGAGACGAUUCCUAAAGAUGGUUUCCGAUUUGUGGCGGAUCUGUUUCCAGACUCGCACUGGCUAGAUGUUUCAGACAUACUUCAACCCAAAGUUGUUUUGCAACCCACCUACCGUUCUGAUCUUCCAGGUCACCAGGGCAUGGAAGUGUAUCGCUAUCCCAGUCCACUGCAUGCUGUGGCCCUGCAAAGUCCACUAUAUGCACCAAAAAGCCCCCAGAACAACAGGGAAAAGAAUGGAAGAACCUCUACAAGCUCCUUACUGAGGCCAGGCUUGAAGGUUUCAGAACAUUCAUGCUGUCUUGCAAAAUCCACCUAUUUAUCAUCCAACUUACUAAAGAAACAUACCAAUUCUUUGGACAGGAACAUGCUCUUUGAGAAGCACAGACGUGAGGAGAUCAUUCUGAAACGAGCCAGAGGUCAAUGCCACAGUCAUAGCGCUGCACCAAGAGAUGGAGGAAUGACCUCACGGCCAAAGAGAAGCAUGCACCGCACCAGCUCCUUGCACAAAAACAAACCAUCCUUCUAUUCUUUUCAGUCCACGCAUCUGCAGAGAAACAGAGAAGAUGUGUGUGAGGCUGCAAUGAGCACAGCAUCCACCAUGCAAGCUAUGAAAAGGCUAAAUUUAUAA